This 340-nucleotide unclassified non-coding RNA is filed under the name soil metagenome. RNAcentral's name for it is "partial contains 5.8S ribosomal RNA, internal transcribed spacer 2, and large subunit ribosomal RNA". The stretch from base 1 to 121 matches the Rfam family "5.8S ribosomal RNA", at positions 35 to 154 of the family's 154-position model. The record is from RNAcentral.
GAUGAAGAACGUAGCGAAAUGCGAUAAGUAAUGCGAAUUGCAGAAUUUCCGUGAGUCAUCGAAUCUUUGAACGCACAUUGCGCCCUCGGGUAUUCCCGAGGGCAUGCCUGUCCGAGCGUCAUUAUCCAACCAUCAAGCUCGGCUUGCGGUUGAGCCCCGCACCGUCCCCGGGACGGUGGGCUCGAAACAUGUUGGGCGCCCGUGAGGUUCUCGGUGCAGCGAGCUCUCGAGCACGUGCCGGGCAACCUCUCUGGGCGUCGGCCAACCCCCCAAUUUCUCAGGUUGACCUCGGAUCAGGUAGGAAUACCCGCUGAACUUAAGCAUAUCAAUAAGCGGAGGA